UCUCUCCCAGCUCCGCUUGAUCACACAGAUGUAGUGUGUGCUUGGCGUUUUCAGGGAGAGAAAGGAAGGCUCUCCUAAUGCGCGACAGAAUUGCCCACGGUGGCCUCUGUUCCUGGGAGUGCAACAUCU
This is a small nucleolar RNA of Nycticebus coucang (slow loris), 129 nucleotides long. RefSeq annotates it as small nucleolar RNA SNORA64/SNORA10 family. The record is from RefSeq and is a predicted model, not a curated record. The transcript has a single exon. NCBI's taxonomy places the organism in Eukaryota, Metazoa, Chordata, Mammalia, Primates, Lorisidae.